UAGCGUAUAUUAAAGUUGUUGCGGUUAAAAAGCUCGUAGUUGGAUUUCUGUUGAGGUUGGGCGGUCCGUACUUUGUGCGAGUAUCUGCUUCGGCCUUGGCAUCCUCUCGGAAGGCGCUACUGUGCUUGAUUGCAUGGUGCGAAUUGCGGGACUUUUACUUUGAGGAAAUUAGAGUGUUCACGGCAGGCUUUCGCCUUGAAUAUAUUAGCAUGGAAUAAUGAUAUAGGAUCUGAUGCCUAUUUUGUUGGUUUCUAGGUGUUAGAUAAUGAUUAAUAGGGACAAUUGGGGGGAUUCGUAUUACAGCGUC
This 307-nucleotide ribosomal RNA is filed under the name Amoebophrya sp. RNAcentral describes it as "SSU rRNA". It matches the Rfam family "Eukaryotic small subunit ribosomal RNA", at positions 595 to 906 of the family's 1831-position model. Lineage: Eukaryota; Dinophyceae; Syndiniales; Amoebophryaceae. The record is from RNAcentral.